Molecule: long non-coding RNA, 962 nt
Filed under: Salmo salar (Atlantic salmon)
Lineage: Eukaryota; Metazoa; Chordata; Actinopteri; Salmoniformes; Salmonidae
Description: lncRNA (ENSSSAG00000116477.1)
Source: RNAcentral
UGAACAUCGACAAGGCGGAGGAGGAGAGCUAUUGGAGCAGAAUCAAGUACUACGACAUCCGGGGCAAAUUACUUGGUUUGGAAGAAGAACGAAAGGAAGGCGAGACCUGGGAAACCUCGCUCCUCUUUCGCUCCUAGCUGAGGUCACCAUCUGUUAAAGGUUACCUCGAUGGAAGCCAACAAUCUUCUCCAGCUGGAGCAGUUGGACGGUUGACCACUGAAAGCACUGACGCCCUACACUUCAAUGAAGCCCAAUAGACAAAGACCAUCAACUGUCCGAGCCACCCAGGAGGUAUCCUAUCCACCAGAACCAAUGAGUUCGGAUCAGUCCAAUUCUCUGUCUUCUGAGUUGAAGGGGGACCAGCUUGAGUUUCAGAGGGAGACUGCGAAGAUUAGGACUGGAGGCCGGUGGUGGCUAGUCCACUCCAGGAAGCUGAGGUGUGGGAGGUUCCUCUGCCCCCUCUGGACAUCGAGGGGGCCCCAGUGUAUGCUGUUCGAGCCAUCCUGGACUCGAGGCGUCGGGUGAGGGGCCUUCAGUACCUCGUGGAGUGGGAGGGGUACGGUCCGGAGGAGAGAUGCUGGGUGCCGGUGGAGGACGUCCUGGACCCUUCGUUGCUACAGGAUUUCUACCGUCUCCAUCUGGAUCGCCCGGCGCCUCGUCCUCCGGGUCAUCUCCGAGGUCGGUGUGGGCUUGCUGCUGGAGCCGUGCGUUAAGGGGGGGGUACUGUCACGACUUCCGUCGAAGUCGGUCCCUCUCCUUGUUUGGGCGGCGUUCGCGGUCGAUGUCACUGGCCUUCUAGCCAUCGCCGAUCCAGUUUUCAUUUUCCAUUUGUUUUGUCUUUGUCUUACACACCUGGUUUCAAUCCCCCAAUUACCUGUUCAUUAUUUAACCCUCAUGUUUGUUUGUGAGUGAUUGUUUCUUUGUAGGUAGGUCCGUUAUUGUGGGCUCUGUUUUUGUAUUGC